Molecule: ribosomal RNA, 372 nt
Filed under: Escherichia coli
Lineage: Bacteria; Pseudomonadati; Pseudomonadota; Gammaproteobacteria; Enterobacterales; Enterobacteriaceae
Description: bacterial SSU rRNA
Rfam family: Bacterial small subunit ribosomal RNA
Source: RNAcentral
AACUGGAGGAAGGUGGGGAUGACGUCAAGUCAUCAUGGCCCUUACGACCAGGGCUACACACGUGCUACAAUGGCGCAUACAAAGAGAAGCGACCUCGCGAGAGCAAGCGGACCUCAUAAAGUGCGUCGUAGUCCGGAUUGGAGUCUGCAACUCGACUCCAUGAAGUCGGAAUCGCUAGUAAUCGUGGAUCAGAAUGCCACGGUGAAUACGUUCCCGGGCCUUGUACACACCGCCCGUCACACCAUGGGAGUGGGUUGCAAAAGAAGUAGGUAGCUUAACCUUCGGGAGGGCGCUUACCACUUUGUGAUUCAUGACUGGGGUGAAGUCGUAACAAGGUAACCGUAGGGGAACCUGCGGUUGGAUCACCUCCUU